GCUGUAAGCACGCUGUUGCAGCUAACGUUUUAUAAUGCGUUAUCGAGACUUCUCUUGUAUAUUCAAACUACUGCAAAUUAUAAAAAUGGCUUUCUUAAAGUAGCAACCAAUUAAAUUAAAAAAAGGGGGAGAGUUAUUUUUUUUAUCUGAGUCAGAUUUUUUUUUCGCGCGUACGUUUUUAUUCCUUUUUUUUCGAUGCUGGUUAUCAAAUACUUUUUUUUCAAUAUUUAACACUAUAAUGUAUGGG
This 247-nucleotide long non-coding RNA is filed under the name Mytilus galloprovincialis (Mediterranean mussel). The record is from RNAcentral. Lineage: Eukaryota; Metazoa; Mollusca; Bivalvia; Mytilida; Mytilidae.